Salvia miltiorrhiza (redroot sage) is the source of this 252-nucleotide long non-coding RNA. RefSeq lists it as uncharacterized. The transcript has 2 exons. The record is from RefSeq and is a predicted model, not a curated record. Lineage: Eukaryota; Viridiplantae; Streptophyta; Magnoliopsida; Lamiales; Lamiaceae.
AAUUAGGAACAGUGCGAUUAAGACCUUCAUUCCGGAUUUAAUUUUUAGUCUCGACUUUAAGUUUUGCAGUUCUAGAGUCGAGGUGGCCAUGGAAGUCGAGAAUGACUAGAGAUUAUGUACUUCCAUAGAAUUUUAAGUUGAACUUAUACAUUUUAGUUUAUCGUUUUAUAUCAUGUUAUAACUUUAGUUUUGGCAAGAUGAUUUUUAAAUUAGUUUUAAACCUUUUGAAAUUUAAGAAAUUUUAAUUUUCCA